UACGGGGGGGGCAAGCGUUGUUCGGAAUCAUUGGGCGUAAAGGGCGCGUAGGCGGCUUUGUAAGUCCGUUGUGAAAUCCCUCGGCUCAACCGAGGAACUGCGACGGAUACUGCUUGGCUUGAGUCCCGGAGAGGGUAGCGGAAUUCCCAGUGUAGCGGUGAAAUGCGUAGAUAUUGGGAGGAACAUCGGUGGCGAAGGCGGCUACCUGGACGGGUACUGACGCUGAUGCGCGAAAGCGUGGGGAGCAAACAGG
RNAcentral lists this ribosomal RNA (253 nucleotides) under uncultured bacterium. RNAcentral describes it as "partial 16S ribosomal RNA". It matches the Rfam family "Bacterial small subunit ribosomal RNA", at positions 524 to 776 of the family's 1533-position model. The record is from RNAcentral.